This 1074-nucleotide long non-coding RNA is filed under the name Bos mutus (wild yak). RNAcentral describes it as "lncRNA (ENSBMUG00000002210.1)". The record is from RNAcentral. Lineage: Eukaryota; Metazoa; Chordata; Mammalia; Artiodactyla; Bovidae.
CUCGGGCUGUGCCCGCGAACUUUCCCAAAGGUCCGGUCCCCGCGCCCCGUAAGAGCCCGAGCACCCGGGCCUGAUGUCCCCGGAGACGGGGCAGGGCCGCCCGGCGGCGCCGUUGGCGGGGAGGCUUCCAGGAGUGCGCGGUUGGAGUUGGAGCUUUUCGAAUCUCAACUCCCACCCUUCUAUCUUUGACUAAGGGAAGCGAUGGCAUUUUAUCUAGACAGUACCGUUUGCGGACUGCCUUAAAAGUUAAAACUUUUAAUUUUUUUCUCAUCAGUCCAGCACGUUCUUGAAACAAGAUUUGGAAUUUGGCCGCAGUGGGCCGACGCCGGGGCCGCAGAUUCAUACGUUGAUCUCUCCAUCCUUGUUGGUUUCUAGUCUCCCUCCCCCUCUUCCACCCAGGCUUAAUCAUAUUUUGGAACGGGCGAGGUCUUUUGUUGGGUGGGCACCCCCCUUGAUUGCUUGUCUGUUUAUUUUUUGAUGUGCAGUUAAUUUGAUUUGAAUUUCCUCCAGUUUCCACGCUCUCGUAGGGCAACGUUUUGAGGGAAUACGCCACCUUUUUUUUUUUUCUUCUUUUUUUUAAUGUGGAGAGAGGUGGGGCAUUGGGAAAGGGGAGGCACGGUGGUUGUGGGCAAAGAGUCAGAGGGAGCAGACAGACCCGGAAGAAAAGGAAUCUGCUCUGGAAUAACAAACCCUUUUUUUUUUUUUUUUUGAGGCUUCUGGCCUCUGGCAAAAAUGCUCUGUUCUACUGCCUGAGCUGCUCUUUACUCUCAAGUUAGAGCUGUGACACGGGGCCGGGACUACGCCCGGGGGAAGAGGCCAUGCAGCCACGCCAAGAGCAGCCUGUAGCCCUGGUUUUGUGCCUUGUAUGGGGGCCAGUGGUUUCCCCUGGUUGGAAGCGGCCUCUGUGGAACCGGCGUUUUGUAAAUUUCCUGGCUCUCCGGGAGCGGCUGUUAAUGACGCUGGUUGGCACUGCUGAAGUGGACAAGACAGUCAGCUUGAUUCAGAAUCAUUCUUAAGGUGGAGGGGAAGAACGACAGUCUCCUAGAGGAAUUUCCAAAAUUGAAUGAUAGAGGC